UUACCCAUCGGGGCUGUGGAUAUCUGCUUAAAUUUU
Molecule: non-coding RNA, 36 nt
Filed under: Mesocricetus auratus (golden hamster)
Lineage: Eukaryota; Metazoa; Chordata; Mammalia; Rodentia; Cricetidae
Description: XIST RNA A repeat
Rfam family: XIST RNA A repeat
Source: Rfam by way of RNAcentral